CAUUUUCUGUACAAUCCAUCAGAGAACACAAUCUUUGAACAGAGACCCUCAAGUACCCACCAGGCAAGAACAAAUAGUGCUUCUGGUGUGAGACGAUGGAGCUGUAUCACUAAUCAAUGUACACCUGUUGAGAGGACAAUUCUGGAGGCACUUAACGAACUGGACAUGAAGAUCAAUCAUCUGACUUCAGUGGUCCAGUCCCUUGCAGCUAACAGACGUUCCAGUGCUCCAGUGCUGCUGGUGGACAGCGAGGAUGAUGUCUUUCCUCACACAACCAUGGAGGAACUAGACAAAUUGGAAAGACAAUUAUCAGAAAAAGCAAUGAUGCAAAAGAUGGUGAACAGGUUAUCCAUCAGCGGAGGUCACACACUGAAGAAAACCAUAUGGAGAAUAUGCUCCAAGGUUUUCGGUCCUGUAGCCAAACAGCUGAACUGGUGUGGUAGGGGAGAAAAGCGAGGGAUCAGGAAAACAAACAUAGGAGCACUCCUAAUAGGAGCAGCUAUGAAGAAUCCCGUGCUUCCGUCGCCAACUGAAGCAGAGGCUGAAAAACACGUUAAGGAUUCCGCUUGGCCCCAGGGAGAAUGCCUUGUUAAUCAACUUGCUUUUUUGUUGUUUGUUUGUUUCAGGAUUAUAAUAAUAAUAAUAAUAAUAAUAACAUAAACGACUGCUUAUUUUCAUUCACUGUUAAUAAAA
This is a long non-coding RNA of Cyprinus carpio carpio, 693 nucleotides long. Lineage: Eukaryota; Metazoa; Chordata; Actinopteri; Cypriniformes; Cyprinidae. The record is from Ensembl.